This 2935-nucleotide unclassified non-coding RNA is filed under the name Haliotis rufescens (red abalone). RNAcentral describes it as "scavenger receptor class F member 1-like, transcript variant X3". The record is from RNAcentral. Lineage: Eukaryota; Metazoa; Mollusca; Gastropoda; Lepetellida; Haliotidae.
CCUGAUAAGGAGGACAGUAACACCAACAGAAGCCUUUGAUCCAUUGAAACGGUGUUUCCUGUGUAGCACAUUAGUCACCAGCCCCCUCAGACACAUGUGAUGCACAUGACUAUUGGCCUGCAUGUUGUAUCAACAGGGACUGUCCGUAUAGAAGGCUGGGCUGUAAGUACAUGCUGUAUUGUAAGUAUAGAAGGCUGUGCAGAAAGUAUAUGCUGUACUGUAAGUAUAUGCUGGAACUGUAAGUAUAUGCUGUACUAUAAGUAUAUGAUGUGAUGUAAGUAUAUGCUGUACUGUAAGUAUAUGCUGUAUUGUAGGUGUUUGAUGUAUUGUAGGUGUUUGAUGUAUUGUAAGUAUAUGAUGAUAAUGUAAGUAUAUGCUGUACUGUAAGUAUAUGUUGGAACUGUAAGUAUAUGCUGUGAUGUAAGUUUAUGCUGUACUGUAAGUAUAUGCUGGAACUGUAAGUAUAUGAUGUGCUGUAAGUAUAUGGUGUACUGUAAGUAUAUGCUGUACUGUAAGUAUAUGGUGUACUGUAAGUGUUUGAUGUACUGUAAGUAUAUGAUGGUACUGUAAGUAUAUGAUUACUGUAAGUAUAUGAUCUACUGUAAGUAUAUGCUGUACUGUAAGUAUAUGUUGUACUGUAAAUAUAUGUUGGAACUGUAAAUAUAUGAUGUGCUAUAAGAAUAGGCUGUACUGUAAGUAUAUGAUGUACUGUAAGUAUAUGCUGCACCGUGAGUAUAGGCUUGUAAUGUAAGUAUAUGCUGUACUGUAAGUAUAUGAUGUAUUGUAGGUAUAUGCUGGUACUGUAAGUAUAUGAUGUACUGUAAGUAUAUGCUGGUACUGUAAGCAUAUGCUGCACUGUAAGUACAGGCUGUACUGUUAGUAUAUGCUGUACUUUAAGUAUAUGCGGUACUGUAAGUAUAUGUUUGUACUGUAAGUAUAUGAUUGUACUGUAAGUAUGUGUUGUACUGUAAGUAUAGGCUCUCCUGUAAGUAUAUGUUGCACUGUUCGCAUAGGCUGUACUGUAAGUAUAUCCUGGUACUGUAAGUAUAGGUUGUACUGUAAGUAUAGGCUGUCCUGUAAGUAUAGGCUGUGCUGUAAGUAUAUGCGGUAUUGUAAGUAUACUUUGUACUGUAAGCAUAUGCUGUACUGUAAGUAUAUGCUGUACUGUAAGUAUAGGCUGUCCUGUAAGUAUAUGUUGCACUGUACGCAUAGGCUGUACUGUAAAUUUAUGAUGUACUGUAAGUAUAGGCUGUACUGCAAGUAUAUGAUGUACUGUAAGUAUAGGUGGUACUGUAAGUAUAAUUUGUACUGUAAGUUUAUGUUGUACUGUAAGUAUAGGCUGUGAUGUAAGCAUGUGCUGUGUUGUUAGUAUAUGCUGUACUGUAAGUAUAUGUUGUACUAAGUAUACGUUGUACUGUAAAUAUAUGCUGCACUGUGAGUAUAGGCUGUACUGUAAGUAUAUGUUGUACUGUAAGUAUAUGCUGUACUGCAAGUAAAUGAUGUACUAUGAUUAUAGGCUGGUAAUGUACGCAUUUGAUGUACUCUAAGUGUAGGCUGUAAUGUAAGUAUAAUCUGUACUGUAAAUAUAUGAUGCACUGUGAGUAUAGGUUGUACUGUAGGUAUAUGUUGCACUGUGAGUAUAGGCUGUACUGUAAGUAUAUGCUGUGCUAGAAGUAUAUGUUGUACUGUAAGUAUGUCUGUGUUACAUGUAUUGUGAAAUGAGGUUUAAUGCAGACCUUGUGUUAUCCCCUUUUUGCCAUGGGAAACAGCAGGUACCAUCUUUCAACUACUAGUGUUACUAAACAAUGUGAUACUGAUGAGUAUUGAUAAGGCACUCGGCUCCUUGCAAUGGCCAGCCUGUGUAUAUUCUCAGACUAGUGCGUACACAAAGUGCCACCCUCUUCUGGCCUAACUCUGCAACUCUUUGGUGUCUGCAUACCCAUUUAUCGUUUACGUUUCGGCAUCAAACACGUGUUGUUUCGUUGUGUAUGUUUAAGGUAAUGUUGAUGACGUCAUUGUUCUUUCACACCAGUUUCAGUCACCAUAAUGGUCGCCUCGCUCUUGAUGUGGAUAGGAUCAUUGGUAAUUGCUGCUGAAGCUGGUCAAUGUAAGGAUAACCAACACUGUUCAGACUGUGCCAACACGACGGGACACUGCCUCACUGUGUGUGACUCUGGGUAUUUUGAUCUGAAAUGUUUGUCAGUUUGUGACGGAUAUUGUAAAUAUAACCUGUGUAGUCAGUCAGACGACGGUGGUGGACGUUGUACCGAGGGAUGUAUCCCAGGAUAUCAAGGCAGGAGGUGUAACAUACCAUGUGACAGUCCAGGAAGUAACUGUACAGCAUGCCCAGGUGGUUGUGAUGGAGGAUAUUGUCAGCUGGGCUCCUCCUGUGUGUCUGGAUGUGUAGACUCCUACUUCGGGACAGAUUGUGAACCUGGUAGGUAUUGACUAGGUGGUACAGUGGGACUAGCUGUAGGACUGUCCACAACAGCUGUCAGUUUCAUCGUGUUGAUCUUCCUGGCAGUGUGCUGCAAGUGUAGUAAACACUUGAGGCGAAUUAGUGUCACCCAGGAAGAGCAUGUUGUGCGCGAUUCUGUUGCCGAGAUGGGCGAUGCCCCUGUCUAUGAACUAGAAGGGCAUACUGACAUCCAACAGACAGAGGACGUUGUGCGCGACUCUGGUGCCGAGACGGGCGAUGCCCCUGUCUAUGAACUAGAAUGGUAUACUGACAUCCCACUGAAAGACAUGGCCAUGGAUCGUGAGUCACCUGAUGGGAACUGUGGAGGUGGAGGCGAAGCUGGUGGUGUGGAGGAUGAUGUGUAUGACGUUGCAGAUGGAGGCAAACGGGAUCGUGCUGGUGUUAUCGGCAAUAUCUAUUCCAAAAUAUCCCAUGCUUAGAAAUCAAGUAUUUCUUAAAUAUUGUUUGUUGACUGUU